RNAcentral lists this unclassified non-coding RNA (373 nucleotides) under Hevea brasiliensis (rubber tree). The record is from RNAcentral. Lineage: Eukaryota; Viridiplantae; Streptophyta; Magnoliopsida; Malpighiales; Euphorbiaceae.
GUGCAGCUCUUGAUACAGAACAAAAUACUUACCAAUAUAUGACAAUGAUGACUAAUUUUGCUCACACAGAGGAAUAUGAAAAUUACACGACUUGAUACUCAGUUAACAAACUAACAGAGACUGAGAAGGAGGGGGGAUGUAAUCACAGGCAAUGUCCAACAAAUCACAUGAUGUCUCUCGCAAGCCUUGGCGGUUUCUCUCUCGAGUGCACAAUGUCGCUGUUCUGAAUCGUUAGCAGGUGGUGAUCAGGUUCAUCCUCUUCGCUCUCUUCAACUGAACCAAACGACUCCGACCCGUCGUCAUCCGAGUAUACCGGAUGAUCUGGUAAAUGUCGGACUGCUGCUAUCUGAAUACUUUGUGGAAGGAGACAAUU